AACGAACGCUGGCGGCAUGCCUAACACAUGCAAGUCGAACGAGACCUUCGGGUCUAGUGGCGCACGGGUGCGUAACGCGUGGGAACCUGCCCUUAGGUUCGGAAUAACUCCCCGAAAGGGGUGCUAAUACCGGAUAAUGUCUUCGGACCAAAGAUUUAUCGCCUUUGGAUGGGCCCGCGUUGGAUUAGCUCGUUGGUAGGGUAAAAGCCUACCAAGGCGACGAUCCAUAGCUGGUCUGAGAGGAUGGUCAGCCACACUGGGACUGAGACGCGGCCCAGACUCCUACGGGAGGCGGCAGUGGGGAAUAGUGGACAAUGGGCGAAAGCCUGAUCCAGCAAGGCCGCGUGAGUGAUGAAGGCCUUAGGGUUGUAAAGCGCUUUUACCCGUGAUGAUAAUGACAGUACCGGGAGAAUAAGCUCCGGCUAACUCCGUG
RNAcentral lists this ribosomal RNA (433 nucleotides) under uncultured bacterium. Its description in RNAcentral is "partial 16S ribosomal RNA". It matches the Rfam family "Bacterial small subunit ribosomal RNA", at positions 29 to 507 of the family's 1533-position model. The record is from RNAcentral.